Long non-coding RNA from Gadus morhua (Atlantic cod), 490 nucleotides. RefSeq lists it as uncharacterized. The transcript has 3 exons. Lineage: Eukaryota; Metazoa; Chordata; Actinopteri; Gadiformes; Gadidae. The record is from RefSeq and is a predicted model, not a curated record.
AUCACGCUGAUACGUAUUACUUCCGCAUUUGGUGAUCUUUGUGCACUGUGACAUCCGGUGAAUAUCUCAUCACUCUGGCGAACCGAUGAUGGAGGACCGGCAGUUCACUUUCACUACAUCCCUGAUAAAUGUACCCAAAAUCACGUUUCCUGACGUUCACAGACUUCCCGAACAACAUUCCAUUACAGCCCGCUCCAAACUGGACAAGGGAUACCGUUUAUUUUUCGAGAAAUAUAUCUACGACUACGAAGAUUGUUUUCCAAGCUGACGGCGCCAAUCUUCAAGAAACCACAUGCAGCUGUACAGCAGCCAAGGUUCUUUGCAACCAUCUAGUGGCCUUGUUGUUCCAGAGUGCCCAUUACAGCAUGUUGCAGGUGAGAGCUGUACCACCACCUAUGGCCUGCACAAGCUCUCUGCAAACAUGGCAUCGACCAAGGACUAAGGUAACAUUGUAGCUGUGCGGAGCUGCACCGUAUUGAAUAGACUUCCA